Molecule: ribosomal RNA, 467 nt
Filed under: uncultured bacterium
Lineage: Bacteria
Description: partial 16S ribosomal RNA
Rfam family: Bacterial small subunit ribosomal RNA
Source: RNAcentral
GACGAACGCUGGCGGCGUGCUUAACACAUGCAAGUCGAACGGAAAGGCCCUGCUUUUGUGGGGUGCUCGAGUGGCGAACGGGUGAGUAACACGUGAGUAACCUGCCCUUGACUUUGGGAUAACUUCAGGAAACUGGGGCUAAUACCGGAUAGGAGCUCCUGCUGCAUGGUGGGGUUGGAAAGUUUCGGCGGUUGGGGAUGGACUCGCGGCUUAUCAGCUUGUUGGUGGGGUAGUGGCUUACCAAGGCUUUGACGGGUAGCCGGCCUGAGAGGGUGACCGGCCACAUUGGGACUGAGAUACGGCCCAGACUCCUACGGGAGGCAGCAGUGGGGAAUAUUGCGCAAUGGGCGGAAGCCUGAUGCAGCAACGCCGCGUGCGGGAUGACGGCCUUCGGGUUGUAAACCGCUUUCGCCUGUGACGAAGCGUGAGUGACGGUAAUGGGUAAAGAAGCACCGGCUAACUACGUG